This 20-nucleotide non-coding RNA is filed under the name Arabidopsis thaliana (thale cress). The record is from RNAcentral. Lineage: Eukaryota; Viridiplantae; Streptophyta; Magnoliopsida; Brassicales; Brassicaceae.
GACACAAAUGAUGAGCCUGG